GACGUAGGGCGCGAGCGUUGUCCGGAAUUAUUGGGCGUAAAGAGCUCGUAGGCGGCUUGUUGCGUCAGCUGUGAAAACCCGCAGCUCAACUGUGGGCUUGCAGCUGAUACGGGCAGACUAGAGUGCGGUAGGGGAGAUUGGAAUUCCUGGUGUAGCGGUGGAAUGCGCAGAUAUCAGGAGGAACACCGAUGGCGAAGGCAGAUCUCUGGGCCGUAACUGACGCUGAGGAGCGAAAGCAUGGGAGCGAACAGG
RNAcentral lists this ribosomal RNA (252 nucleotides) under uncultured bacterium. RNAcentral describes it as "partial 16S ribosomal RNA". It matches the Rfam family "Bacterial small subunit ribosomal RNA", at positions 524 to 776 of the family's 1533-position model. The record is from RNAcentral.